RNAcentral lists this ribosomal RNA (841 nucleotides) under Ganoderma wiiroense. Its description in RNAcentral is "LSU rRNA". It matches the Rfam family "Eukaryotic large subunit ribosomal RNA", at positions 77 to 905 of the family's 3401-position model. The record is from RNAcentral. Lineage: Eukaryota; Fungi; Basidiomycota; Agaricomycetes; Polyporales; Polyporaceae.
CCCCUAGUAACUGCGAGUGAAGCGGGAAAAGCUCAAAUUUAAAAUCUGGCGGUCUUUGACCGUCCGAGUUGUAGUCUGGAGAAGUGCUUUCCGCGCUGGACCGUGUAUAAGUCUCUUGGAACAGAGCGUCAUAGAGGGUGAGAAUCCCGUCUUUGACACGGACUACCAGUGCUUUGUGAUGCGCUCUCAAAGAGUCGAGUUGUUUGGGAAUGCAGCUCAAAAUGGGUGGUGAAUUCCAUCUAAAGCUAAAUAUUGGCGAGAGACCGAUAGCGAACAAGUACCGUGAGGGAAAGAUGAAAAGCACUUUGGAAAGAGAGUUAAACAGUACGUGAAAUUGCUGAAAGGGAAACGCUUGAAGUCAGUCGCGUUGUCCGGAACUCAGCCUUGCUUUCGCUUGGUGCACUUUCCGGAUGACGGGUCAGCAUCGAUUUUGACCGUCGGAAAAGGGCUGGAGUAAUGUGGCACCUCCGGGUGUGUUAUAGACUCUGGUCGCAUACGAUGGUUGGGAUCGAGGAACGCAGCGCGCCGCAAGGCAGGGGUUCGCCCACUUUCGCGCUUAGGAUGCUGGCAUAAUGGCUUUAAACGACCCGUCUUGAAACACGGACCAAGGAGUCUAACAUACCUGCGAGUGUUUGGGUGGAAAACCCGAGCGCGUAAUGAAAGUGAAAGUUGGGAUCCCUGUCGUGGGGAGCACCGACGCCCGGACCUGACGUUCUCUGACGGAUCCGCGGUAGAGCAUGUAUGUUGGGACCCGAAAGAUGGUGAACUAUGCCUGAAUAGGGUGAAGCCAGAGGAAACUCUGGUGGAGGCUCGUAGCGAUUCUGACGUGCAAAUCGAUCGU